This 484-nucleotide ribosomal RNA is filed under the name uncultured bacterium. RNAcentral's name for it is "partial 16S ribosomal RNA". It matches the Rfam family "Bacterial small subunit ribosomal RNA", at positions 30 to 507 of the family's 1533-position model. The record is from RNAcentral.
AUUGAACGCUGGCGGCAGGCCUAACACAUGCAAGUCGAGCGGAUGAAGGGAGCUUGCUCCUGGAUUCAGCGGCGGACGGGUGAGUAAUGCCUAGGAAUCUGCCUGGUAGUGGGGGAUAACGUCCUGAAACGGGCGCUAAUACCGCAUACGUCCUGAUGGAGCAAGUGGGGGAUCUUCGGACCUCACGCUAUCAGAUGAGCCUAGGUCGGAGUAGCUAGUUGGUGGGGUAAAGGCCUACCAAGGCGACGAUCCGUAACUGGACUGAGAGGAUGAUCAGUCACACUGGAACUGAGACACGGUCCAGACUCCUAAGGGAGGCAGCAGUGGGGAAUAUUGGGCAAUGGGCGAAAGCAUGAUCCAGCCAUGCCGAGUGUGUGAAGAAGGUCUUCGGAGUGUAAAGAACUUUAAGGGGGGAGGAAGGGCAGUAAGUUAAUACCUUGCUGUUUUGACGGUACCAACAGAAUAAGCACCGGCUAACUUCGUG